RNAcentral lists this long non-coding RNA (1589 nucleotides) under Triticum aestivum (bread wheat). RNAcentral's name for it is "long non-coding RNA (TAES_LNC000802)". Lineage: Eukaryota; Viridiplantae; Streptophyta; Magnoliopsida; Poales; Poaceae. The record is from RNAcentral.
UAGAUUUUUGUUCACAUGAAUUUAUUAUGCUCGAAUUUGUACACAUGAUUUACAAAGAGUAAACUGACAAAAGUUUAUAAUCUGACUGAACCAGGCUUAAUCCAUUAUAAGAAAAAAUGACAAAGCUUCACAUUUGCUCCACUUAACACACUAAUAUCACAGUACCACAUCCAUCUUAACAAACUCACUAACACGUCAUGAGCUUAAAAAUGUUCAUAUCUGCCACUUAUUUCUAAAUGAGGUCAACGACAACCAUCAUUUGUCACUUGUUGUGGCGGUUCUGCAGCAAGACCCACCACAGCACAGCACCUUGGUCCGGCACAACCUUCUUUAUUUUCUUCUGAUGAGGAAACCAUCGAAUUGAAGCACUGUGAUGUUGGGAUAUUCCAUUGGUAUGUUGAUUUCACUUUGAAGUCAAUUGAAACACCGAUAAGAUUUACAACCUAGCAGAGAACUAGUAGAAAUUAGACUACAGAGAAGAAAGAUAGCAGUACGCGUAGGCUAUUCUGUCAAGGCAAACAUGUGUGGCAUAUCAUUUGCAAUCUUCAAGGCAAGCUGCAAAUGCAAGGGGCGAGAGGUGGUGUCGCUGAAGAUCGGAGCAGUUCGCUCCUUGCACAAAUUUCAGAUGAGGUACGAGCAUGGUUUUAAAUAGCCCGCUAUAGCACGCUAUAGCAUUUAAAAGAGGUCCUGCGCUAAGAGUCUUUUGUCCAAACACAUGAGCAAACGUUUUAAAUAGCUCUCUAUAGCACCGCUAUAGCACGCUAUAGCAUUUAGAAGAGGUCCGCCGCUAAAAGGCUUAGCGUGCUAUUUAAAACUUUGGGUACGAGGCUAUAACAUUAAGCAUGGUUCUGGUUUUCAGUACAGGCUCUGAACACACGGUCUCCCACAAGCUUAGCAAAUCAGUGUUCAGGUUAGAGGACAGGGUUAGCCGGAGACAAUGGAGCAGAGUACAUACAUGUAGUGAAACCUGUUUUGAGAAAGGGCAGUUAAGGCAUGGGUACGAAGCAAAUUCAAGGACUCUCGCAAAAUUAAUGGAAGGAUAACUAAUGUGCUCACCAACAAUUACAAAAGGGGGAUGCCGUGUAUAUGUAUUCUACUUCUUGUAGUCCCUAACAAUGUUAUCCCGAGCGGGAGAAGGCGGUGAAAUAAAUCAUGGGUUGGAUCGAUGCAACCCAUUAUGAAAUAAGAAUGGGAGGCGUAUGGAAACUCAUCAUCUCGACGGAGCACGUAAGACAUCGACUCAUCCCAAGUCAAAGUAUUGCUGAGGAGGGAAGGCAGCAGCCGAAACUCUGGAAUACUCCCGGGGUAGAUAAGAUAACAGUACAGAUCAGCCCAAACUACCCAACCUCAUUCCACGCAGAUACUGAAAAUGGUGCAGAUCGAUUUCUCCCCCACUUCCUCCUCAACCCCCUGAACUGCAAUCCAUGUUGACCUCACCAAGACCUAGAGCUAGGGUACACAAGGAAAGCAAAGGGGGGAAACGGGACUUGGGACUACCUCGCCGAAGGCCGCCGCAUGUCUAGUCGCCGGAAUCGAUGCGCCGCUCUUGAGCAACGGCGGGUGGGGGUGGGUACUGUACAGAAAGCAAG